UGAGCCAAGAUUGUCAUUACGUCUUGCCAGGGAAGGAGCAAGAUAAAUCAAGUUUUAGUUUUUCGUUCUGAAGCUGAUCACGAUUUUCUGAAACUGCCGAUUUUUCCUUCCAUAGCCCAGGUCUGCCAUGGAAAGAAGAACAGUGCACUCAGGUCCAAAUGGACAGGGUUUCCUUGUGUAACAGCCCUGGCUAGAACUCACUCUGUAGACCAGACUGGACUAGAACUCACAGAGAUCCACCUGCCUCCGCCUCCAGAGAGCUGGGAUUAAAGGCAUGUACAACCAUACCUGGCUUAAUUCUUUCUUUAAUCAGCAGAGAGAAAUGAACCCAACUAAGACUCAUAGACGGCCACGAUGUGACCAGCUUUCAAGCUCCUAGCACCCUUUCCCUGAAAGGAUGAACGCUAGUUUGGAAAUGUGAGUUAAAUAAAAGAAAUGUUUUCUCCCUG
This is a long non-coding RNA of Peromyscus eremicus (cactus mouse), 449 nucleotides long. RefSeq lists it as uncharacterized. The transcript has 2 exons. The record is from RefSeq and is a predicted model, not a curated record. Lineage: Eukaryota; Metazoa; Chordata; Mammalia; Rodentia; Cricetidae.